AUUGAACGCUGGCGGCAGGCUUAACACAUGCAAGUCGAGCGGGGUGAUGGUGCUUGCACUAUCACUUAGCGGCGGACGGGUGCGUAAUGCUUAGGAAUCUGUCUAUUAGUGGGGGACAACAUCUCGAAAGGGAUGCUAAUACCGCAUACGUCCUACGGGAGAAAGCAGGGGAUCACUUGUGACCUUGCGCUAAUAGAUGAGCCUAAGUCGGAUUAGCUAGUUGGUGGGGUAAAGGCCUACCAAGGCGACGAUCUGUAGCGGGUCUGAGAGGAUGAUCCGGCACACUGGGACUGAGACACGGCCCAGACUCCUACGGGAGGCAGCAGUGGGGAAUAUUGGACAAUGGGGGGAACCCUGAUCCAGCCAUGCCGCGUGUGUGAAGAAGGCCUUAUGGUUGUGAAGCACUUUAAGCGAGGAGGAGGCUCUUUUGGUUAAUACCCAAGAUGAGUGGACGUUACUCGCAGAAUAAGCACCGGCUAACUCUGUGCCAGCCGCCGCAGUAA
RNAcentral lists this ribosomal RNA (503 nucleotides) under uncultured bacterium. RNAcentral describes it as "partial 16S ribosomal RNA". It matches the Rfam family "Bacterial small subunit ribosomal RNA", at positions 30 to 523 of the family's 1533-position model. The record is from RNAcentral.